Molecule: ribosomal RNA, 514 nt
Filed under: uncultured bacterium
Lineage: Bacteria
Description: partial 16S ribosomal RNA
Rfam family: Bacterial small subunit ribosomal RNA
Source: RNAcentral
GAUGAACGCUGGCGGCGUGCCUAAUACAUGCAAGUCGAGCGAAUGGAUUAAGAGCUUGCUCUUAUGAAGUAGCGGCGGACGGGUGAGUAACACGUGGGUAACCUGCCCAUAAGACUGGGAUAACUCCGGGAAACCGGGGCUAAUACCGGAUAACAUUUUGAACCGCAUGGUUCGAAAUUGAAAGGCGGCUUCGGCUGUCACUUAUGGAUGGACCCGCGUCGCAUUAGCUAGUUGGUGAGGUAACGGCUCACCAAGGCAACGAUGCGUAGCCGACCUGAGAGGGUGAUCGGCCACACUGGGACUGAGACACGGCCCAGACUCCUACGGGAGGCAGCAGUAGGGAAUCUUCCGCAAUGGACGAAAGUCUGACGGAGCAACGCCGCGUGAGUGAUGAAAGCUUUCGGGUCGUAAAACUCUGUUGUUAGGGAAGAACAAGUGCUAGUUGAAUAAGCUGGCACCUUGACGGUACCUAACCAGAAAGCCACGGCUAACUACGUGCCAGCCGCCGCGGUAA